GACGAACGCUGGCGGCGUGCUUAACACAUGCAAGUCGAACGGAAAGGCCCUGCUUUUGUGGGGUGCUCGAGUGGCGAACGGGUGAGUAACACGUGAGUAACCUGCCCUUGACUUUGGGAUAACUUCAGGAAACUGGGGCUAAUACCGGAUAGGAGCUCCUGCUGCAUGGUGGGGGUUGGAAAGUUUCGGCGGUUGGGGAUGGACUCGCGGCUUAUCAGCUUGUUGGUGGGGUAGUGGCUUACCAAGGCUUUGACGGGUAGCCGGCCUGAGAGGGUGACCGGCCACAGUGGGACUGAGAGACGGCCCAGACUCCUACGGGAGGCAGCAGUGGGGAAUAGUGCACAAUGGGCGGAAGCCUGAUGCAGCAACGCCGCGUGCGGGAUGACGGCCUUCGGGUUGUAAACCGCUUGCGCCUGUGACGAAGCGUGAGUGACGGUAAUGGGUAAAGAAGCACCGGCUAACUACGUG
This 468-nucleotide ribosomal RNA is filed under the name uncultured bacterium. RNAcentral's name for it is "partial 16S ribosomal RNA". It matches the Rfam family "Bacterial small subunit ribosomal RNA", at positions 28 to 507 of the family's 1533-position model. The record is from RNAcentral.